CUGCGGCUGCGCUGGGCGCCCGGCAGCGCUCGCCUGGCCGUGGGGCGUCACAAAGUCUGAGGCGUGACCCCGCAGAUUUCAGGGGACAAACGUGUCAUCCCUGUCGGGGAGGAGUGUCGGGAUCUCCUCUGCGGCCUGCUGUGGGCUGCAGGAACCACCCACCUCUGCCGCAGCAGAAGAGGGGUGGUGAGAAAAUACGUUUCUGUUCGCAUGUUUUCUCCUUUUCUUGCAGCAACACCCCUUGAAAGCACGACCUUGUCAGGCUAGUGUUUGUCUUAUAUUGGAUGGUAAGAUGGCGAGCAGGGGACUGCACUUGCAGGUAUCUGGCUUCCUGUUCCCAGUUACAACACCCAGGUAAUUAAAAGGGGGUUGUAGUAGUUGUGCCUUAAUCAAGCUGAUCUCCUCCUUUUAAAACUUCUCUCAUGCGUCUUCUAUAGCUCCAGUCUGGAAUAUCAUCUAUAUGAGGGUAGUACUUUGAGGACCAACCCCUGGGGAUGCUGUUGACUGCACUUGCCUCAGGCUUGCGUGUGUUGUUUCUGCCUGGCAUUGCUCUCCUUGCAGUGUGGGGGUGAAAAGGGGAGAGGCAGAGCACUUAGUGCUGCAGCUGGAGAGGCCAGCAAAAGGUCAAGAAGCAGAACCACUGCAGGCAAGAGAGAGCCUGCCUCUUCAGGUGAAGAAGGAUCCCUCUUUGCAGUCCGCAUCCAGCCAGGCUGCCAGUGUGCACCGCAGGGUGGAGGACAGCCAAGUGCCCAGCGUUACAGAAGAGGGAGGGAGGAGAGAAGGAGAAAGAAACGUCUGAACUGAAAAAUUCUCCCAGUAGUGCUAAGAGCGAGAGCUGCGGUGAGUCCUGGGCCCUUGGGUCCCUGUGGCCCCUCUUGUGCAUUCCAGGCCCUCCCCACUGCUCCCCUGGCCCCCUCUCUUUUGCAUGUGGCUGUGAUUUUUUUUUUUUUUUUUUUCCCCUGUACCUCUCUUUUCUAUUCUUGUGUCCUGCUCCCUCUCCCACUUUUUUU
Molecule: long non-coding RNA, 1010 nt
Organism: Egretta garzetta (little egret)
Lineage: Eukaryota; Metazoa; Chordata; Aves; Pelecaniformes; Ardeidae
Exons: 4
Source: RefSeq, a predicted model, not a curated record